UUCAUUAAGGUACUACGACUCACCACAACAUGGUCGCCGGCUGCUGCACCAACGAGGUGACGGUCAACGUCAGCGUCCACAGGAUGUGGAAGGCGGCCGCCUGCGAGGAUCACAUCCUGCUGCCAAAGAUCAUUCCUCAGUACUUCGCUGGCGCAGAGCUCGUCGGCGAUGGCGAAGCUGGCAGCACAAAGACCUUCCACUUCACUCCAGGUUUAGAUUUUGAUGCUGCUUUCCGACAUUCGUGUGCGUGCGAGAAGAGAUCGCAAAACAAGGAUAAAAAAUAAUCUCACAUCGAUAAAAAGAAUCGGAUGAUACAUAUCGAAACCUUUUUGGUUGAAUUGAUGUAUGAUCUGUUAAUUGGAACUAAUUUGGCUAUUGUUGCGAUCCAUCGAACUGCAGCCGCAGAGCCACUGACCUUCGUGAAGGACCAUGUUGAGGUGUUGGACCACGGAAGCCACACGAUGAGGUACAAGGCGAUCGAAGGAGGUCACCUCGGCCGCACGCUCAAGUCGCACGCGUUCGAGGUCAAGUUCGAAGCGGCGGGCGCCGACAGCUGUGUCGUGAAGACCAAGACAGAAUACGAUACGAUCGACGACGCGCCGCUGCCGGAGGACGAGGUGCAGAAGAUGACGGACGUGCCAGUACGGAUGAUGAAGUCGGUGGAAGCCUAUCUGAUAGCCAACCCCGGUGUUUGUGCCUGAGCCCCUGAGCCUCUGAGCCGGUGGGCUUUCGUGUACCGACGUUGGUGCUUCCAGUGUCGUAGUGCUUGUCAUUGGGCGUGGAUCAAUCAAUAAUGAGGUGAUGCAGCAGUGCUGGAAUCAUCACCUUUAGAGUGAGAGAGUGAGAGAGUGAGAGAGAGAUAGGACAUGACAUGUUGAUGCCAUCUCUCUCUUUGUCUGUUCUUUCCAUCUUCUGCAAUGUGGUGUUUUGUGUGGUCGUUGAAGGACAUAUAUCUACAAAUAAGAUGUGAUUUCUUUGGUAUCAUGUAAUCCUUCUUUUUUGGUAUCAUUCUUAGUAGUCUCUUUUAAAGAUUCAAAGACUAGCGUAAUCCAAAUUAAACAUGGAUUUAAUUGAUUUUACUUAAACUAUAUGAUACGUUUAUAAUGUUUGUUCGUAACGAGUCAACCUUCUCGUAAUUUUAUUUACUCUCAUCCAUAAAUAAAUCAGUUACCGAUAAAUGAAUGCAUGAACAAACAAAUCGAUGUCACCUUAGUAAAAUAUACCUUGGGAUUAUAUAACUAAAAUUGAACAAAAUACCUUCUUAGACGACUAAAAUGGAUGCAUUUUGCUGAAAGAUUUUACGAUAAAAAAUUGAAGGUUAAUUCGUCGUCCAUAAAGUUUAAGUACAUAAGUGAUAGGUUCAUCCAUCGUCCAUAAAGUUUAAGUACAUAAGUGAUAAAACUUCAUCCAAUCUUAUGUUUGUUCAAAAUUUAUAUAAUUAAAUUUGAACAAAAUAUCUUACUAAAAUGGAUGCAUUUUGCUUGCUCUGAAAAAAUUUUACGAUAAAAAAUUGAAGGCUAAUCCAUCGUCAAUAAAAUUUAAGUACAUAAGUGAUAACGUAUCUUAGAACUUUCAUCCAAUCUUGUGUCGGUUCAAAAUUAAAUGUUAACAUGACAUGAGAUUUGACGUAAUAGUGAUGUGACCUUAUCUACAAACUCGAUAGAAACAAAUUAAUUCUUCUAUUUUUUAAGAUAAAUACUGGUAAUACGGCAACAUCAAAAAUAUUAUAUCGUACAAUUUGGUUCUUCCUCUUAGUUUCAAACAUGAAGCUCCACAAAGACGGCAAUAAAAUAAAAUUAACGAAGAAAAAUGCAACACGACAUCAACUCAUCGUGAUCUCACUCACCCUAACAAAGAAUAUAAUAAUAAACUACACCGUUGAAUGAACUGUUAAUUCUUUCAUUAAAUGCAUGAAAUACAUUUAUGGUGAAACUUUGUUUCUAACAUACAUACAUACAUACAUACAUACAUACAUACAUAUUUUAAUCUGACUAGCAUAUGCUUGAAGAAUCCGAUCAUUCUCGACUACGGCUGAUGAUGAUAUGGGGCUGCUCAACAAUGAAGACCGCAAAGUCUGCAUGCUUGUGAGCUUUGAAGUCUUCGCUUCAGUCAACAAAUACUAGCUAGUUUGAAUGCUUCCAAGUUUACCAUGACACCCACUUCUUAGAACAUUGAAUUGGGAUGAGGAUGCCAACAAGAGAAGAUGAACCGAUUCAUUGGCAUGGAGCGAUCUUCGCGUCAUCUCAGACCCCCCCCUUUUUCCAAUCUAAUCGAUGAGGUUACCUAAAGUUCAAACUUCAUCUGGAAGCCCGAGAUGACCCGGCACUCCAUCGCCGUCUAUAAAUGGACUCUUCCCCUUCCCUUCACCACCAACCCAUCACAGCCUGCAGAGCUCUCAUCCGGCAAAACACCUUCAUCGACGCCAUGGUUGCCGGGUGCUGCACCGAAGAGCUGACGCUCAAUGUCAGCGUCCACAGAGUAUGGAAGGCGGCCGCCUGCGAGGAUCACAUCCUGCUGCCAAAGA
RNAcentral lists this long non-coding RNA (2524 nucleotides) under Musa acuminata (dwarf banana). RNAcentral describes it as "long non-coding RNA (MACU_LNC004915)". The record is from RNAcentral. Lineage: Eukaryota; Viridiplantae; Streptophyta; Magnoliopsida; Zingiberales; Musaceae.